This 22-nucleotide microRNA is filed under the name Callithrix jacchus (white-tufted-ear marmoset). RNAcentral's name for it is "cja-miR-9952c". The record is from miRBase by way of RNAcentral. Lineage: Eukaryota; Metazoa; Chordata; Mammalia; Primates; Cebidae.
ACUGAGACCUGAUUGAUGAUGU